Molecule: ribosomal RNA, 253 nt
Filed under: uncultured bacterium
Lineage: Bacteria
Description: partial 16S ribosomal RNA
Rfam family: Bacterial small subunit ribosomal RNA
Source: RNAcentral
UCCGAAGGGAGCUAUCGUUGUUCGGAAUCACUGGGCGUAAAGCGCACGUAGGCGGACGUGUCAGUCAGGGGUGAAAUCCCGGGGCUCAACCUCGGAACUGCCUUUGAUACAGCACGUCUUGAGUCCGGAAGAGGUGGGUGGAAUUCCUAGUGUAGAGGUGAAAUUCGUAGAUAUUAGGAAGAACACCGGUGGCGAAGGCGGCCCACUGGUCCGGUACUGACGCUGAGGUGCGAAAGCGUGGGGAGAAAACAGG